UUGCUUCCUUUACUCUUCAGCCUGGUAGUCACUCAUCAAGCUGAACUGAACAGAACAAAAUUAAGAGUUAGAAGAGCCCUUGGAGGUCUUCUAUCUAGUCGCACUCCCUGUUCAAGCAGGAGACUGUAUACUAUUUCAGACAAAUGGUUGUCCAAUUUCUUCUUAGAAACCUCCAAUGAUGGAGCACCCACAACUUCUGAAGGGACCUCAACCUACAACAUCGCUGAAGAACCGACAAGAAAGCUUGGACACCUCACAGAGGGAAACAAAUGCUUCCAAAGAAUCAAAGACCUGAAAAUAGUUGAAAUAUAGUUGAAAUCAUUUUCUCAUUUGAUAUGAUAGCACUCUCUGCAUACACAGAAUUAGCAAAAGAAUCCAUGACAGCAAUACUAUAUAGCACACCUGAUCUAACCAUAUAUAUCAAGAUUGAAAUACCCAGAAUCAUGGAUCUCAUCAACCUUUGACCACAUAUUUUCAGCUUGAUGGACAAAUAUACAACAAAUCGAACUGGGACUACAGCUUUCAGGACUCAUAGAGACCAUAAUGCCUAGGAAUCUCUAGCAGUCCCACACAUAGAAUCCAAAGUAUGGAUCCGGUACGUAGUUGAUAUCUUGUCAUACUCAAAGGACCAUCUGGAGAAAACAUACCAUCAAUAACAUACAUCUUCAAAGAAAUAAAAUUCCCAAGAAACAUAGAAAACAAUAUGCUACCCUUCCUAGAAAUCCUCAGAGGCAGUGAUGGCAAAUUAAAGCACAAAUCUAUCAGCCAUACUAACCAAGUGCUCCACUACCAAACUAACAACCUAACUUCCCACGAGAAAAACACUAUUUAAAUGAGCACAAAUGCACUACAGCAACCCUGAAUAUCAGAAAAAAAUAGAUUAUCUACAUCUUCCAUCCAAAUGGAUACCGAUGCAACUUUAUCAAAAUAGGCUGACCAGUCAUGUCAAUGUAGCACAACC
Protobothrops mucrosquamatus (brown spotted pit viper) is the source of this 961-nucleotide long non-coding RNA. RefSeq lists it as uncharacterized. The transcript is spliced from 3 exons. NCBI's taxonomy places the organism in Eukaryota, Metazoa, Chordata, Lepidosauria, Squamata, Viperidae. The record is from RefSeq and is a predicted model, not a curated record.